Long non-coding RNA from Takifugu rubripes (torafugu), 1893 nucleotides. Lineage: Eukaryota; Metazoa; Chordata; Actinopteri; Tetraodontiformes; Tetraodontidae. The record is from Ensembl.
AUGCUGACAGGGAGACGUAUAGUCACCCUCUGGCCACUAGUCCGACAUCCUCUACCUCUUCCUCCUCUACGAGCACACAAUCCCGCUCCCCCACAAGCUCACAGUCACGCUCCCCACAUGGGGAAAGGAGAUCUGCUCGGUUGGCAGCCCGCCGGCCACAACGUUCAACAUCCACGGACUCGGAGUAUCCCGAUUCUCCUGCUCCGUCUACUGGGUCUGAUGAGCCUCCUGCUGCUGCGGGUGACGCAGCAGGCGCGAUACAGCCUGCGGACGGCUCACCAACUUCUGACGCUGACCAUCUGCACCACGGGUCUGAUAGUGAGCUGCCAGACGACACACCGGGCACAUCAGGCUUACAGCAAUUCACUUAUCCGCCGCCGCCGCCGCCGAACUGGUUUCAAUCCGGGGAGGACGAACCUUCCUCUGAUCUUGAUUAGUUGCAUGCUGAUGUUAACCCUUGUCGGAUUAACAACGGGGGAAGUUUUGGUGUCAACUAACUUGAACACGAACACACAGCACACGCCAACACUAGAUACGUGUGCUUUGGCAAUGAUUACGCUAGCAACUCACAGAGGGAUAGUAGAUAGAAAUAAUGGAGAAAUCAAACGUAUAAUGCAUGUCAAAGCAGACACUUAUGAUUUUGUACUAACAGAAAUACUGGGAACCGAGUCAAUGGGUAAGCAUUGGCUGGGAUAUCCCCAAAGCGCGGACUGUCGUGGGGAAGGGACGGUGACCAUUCAGGUAAGAUGCGCUAAGACAGGGUGUCAGAAUGAGCAAACAGGACAAAGCAUGACAGUGAAGGAAGCUGAAAGUAAAGUAAAAUUGCUAAAUACAAGACGGAAAAGGGAUCUAGAUAAAUUAAGAACAUCACAUUGGGACACAAACAUGUUCCAACAGUGGAUAAUGUACUCGGCGAAAUCAAUGUUUGAAGCUAAAAAACGGAAAAAACAAGAUUGUAUUGCCUGCUACAACGCUACAAAACUACCACGAAUCCAGGCGAUACCAGGAAGCGAACUAGGGGGAUGCCCGGACAUUACUAAAUGUUUUGCCCUCUGUGCGAUGCACAUGGCAGGAGGCUUACCGCCAUUACCGGGGUGGAGUGAUGAUAGAAAAGUCUGCCCCACGUUGCUGUCAGACGACGAUUAUGAUGUAGUAGGAGCACUACCCCUAGUGGUGCACAAACCGGCUAACAUUAUCUUCCCUUUCUGCAUAGCACGAGGAAAGGAGGUGUUAGAAGUUGUCCAUAGAGAAUCACCGAAAUUGUCGGACGCGGGAGAACUGGUGAGAUGCAGCAGAAUCGACUGGUACCCGGAACUAGCCAACGGGAACACCACAGCAACCAUCAAAUUGUGUAAGACCGGCCCAAAGGCCCAAGUUCAAUGUGAACAGAUAGUACCAAACGGGGGAGCAGUAAUCUAUGAACGAAAUUCAUCCCACAUAGCUCAAUACAGUUUGUUAGACUUGACAAAAGGGACGAGGCCGUUGGGAGAUAUUUUCUGGACUUGUGAAGGUAAUAACACCAUGAUGCCAAAUUUGCCUGCAAAUUGGAAAGGGAUAUGUGCCCCAUUAAUGUUAACAGGACAACUGUCAUUAAUUACGCAAAGGGCGCAACAAAAUCAGGCAUCUCCUAGAAACAAGAGAAAUACCCAGGACUCUAUUGAAAAUUGGGAAUGGGACUGGAAAGCAACAAAUGAAAUUUAUAUCACAUGGGAUCAGGUCCCAUUUGGUGUACCAGAAGAUCAGGUAGCCAUAGGCUCCACAUGGAUAAAAUCCGGACGAGGAGCAGGGUCUAUUCCAAUUUAUGGCUCAAUUGCAAAUGCUCAGUACAUAGCUCGGAACAGUCGUUGGAUAAAUUUUUUGUGGUACAAUCAAGAUUCAAGAGUACUUUAUUGA